Long non-coding RNA from Sturnus vulgaris (Common starling), 324 nucleotides. RefSeq lists it as uncharacterized. The record is from RefSeq and is a predicted model, not a curated record. NCBI's taxonomy places the organism in Eukaryota, Metazoa, Chordata, Aves, Passeriformes, Sturnidae.
AACAGCCACAGCCAGACUCAGAUGCUCUCUCUCCCGUUAGAGCUGACUUUACCAACAUGUGUUACCUCACUGUAAAGAAUCUAUGUGAUGAAUAUUUCUCGGACAUCUCUCAUGGUCCUGUCUAAGGAAGAAAGGAACAAGGAAUAAAACAGACAAAACUUGAAAACUUUUACAAAGACAAAGCGAAGAGGGUCUUUAUUACAGUAAAAAUGCAGCAGGAUGAACAGAAGGAUAACUCUGGAGCAACUUGCAGAAAGCUCUUCGGAUGUUUGUCCUUUGGAAUACAGAGAAAACCAGCUAGAGCCCCAAAAUGGCUUUUUUUUG